UCUUCCCAUUCCGAACAGAGAAGUUAAGCCCGACUGCGCAGAUGGUACUGCAGUUAUGUGGGAGAGUAUGUCGCCGCCUUUC
This 82-nucleotide ribosomal RNA is filed under the name Flavobacterium celericrescens. Lineage: Bacteria; Pseudomonadati; Bacteroidota; Flavobacteriia; Flavobacteriales; Flavobacteriaceae. The record is from RNAcentral.